RNAcentral lists this long non-coding RNA (4835 nucleotides) under Medicago truncatula (barrel medic). RNAcentral's name for it is "long non-coding RNA (MTRU_LNC008107)". The record is from RNAcentral. Lineage: Eukaryota; Viridiplantae; Streptophyta; Magnoliopsida; Fabales; Fabaceae.
CAACCAUCUCACCUCACCUCUCCAUCCAGAAUUUUAUACAAUCAUUUAAAUUUGAUAAUUCUGUUAUUCAAAGAUAAGAAGAAUAAAAUUAUUGGAAUCUAAAAACAAAGGAAAGUCGCUAGAUUUUUACUAAGUCCAAAUUCCUUGUGGAAAUCCAAGGGCAUAAAAUAGAGAACCAGUAGACAUUGAAUUGAAAUCCAUAGGCAAUUUCUACGAUUUGCUACGAUUUAAACUUCUGAUUUGCUACGAUUUAAGUUGUUAUAUAUAUUUUUAAAUUUGGUAGGAUCUUACAAUCGGCAAAAGUUAUGGUGCAUAAGCCAUUUCCUUAUGCAUCGUGCAUAAACACAUCACAACCAUCAGAUUUCUUUUAUUUUGAACAAAAAUGAUUUUGGCUCACUUUGGGGGUGUAGGAAGCAAUUAUGUUGGGAUUUAUGCAUGGUGCAUAAGGAUUUCCUUAUGCACCAUUACCACUCCCUGAUUAUUAGACAACCUACCAUGUUAAGAUGCAAUGCUUAUUUUUUGGUCAAAUAGAUGCAAUACUUUUUUUAUUUAAUGGACGUCAGCUUUUUCAUAUAUUCAUUUGUUUUCCGUGCCUUGUAUUUUUUAUUUAUUUUUUAUAUACAUUUUGCCAUAUUAAAUUUAACUCAUAUUUUGGCAUCUUAUUUUGUCCAGCUGUAGACCCUUCUACCAGCAAGCCAGAUGCCCUUUUCAAUGAGCAACCACCCCAGGCAAGUUUUUCUGGAUGGGUCCUUUUUUCUUUUGAUUCAAAUUUCACAAUUUUAGUUUCUUUUUACAUAUUUGAAUUCAUUCUUAACUGGGAUCCAAAUACUUCUUGGUAAAACAGCUUCUAGGAGCUCAUAAACUCCGAUCAUAAGAUCUGGUAACAUUCUCUCCCAAAUUGUCCCAUAAGCACUUGCAACAGCAGACAAGCCAAAAUAAUCCAAACAUAAGCAUUUCCAAACAGCCCCCCUAAUAAUGAGCAACUUGUACUUUAUUUUGUUUUCACAUAAGUACCCCAUUCUUCAACUUUCCACCUAUCUGACUAGGGUAUUACAUAUAAAUCAGACAUUUAAUGCUCUUGAGGAUUUUGUCUUGAAUAAGUUCAAUAUUACAAUUUGCUUUGUGUGCCAGUUUGCAUAAUAUGGGAUUAGUGUUGAAUAUCUGCUCCAUUUUAUUUUUUUGUAACAUGUAUCUUUGGUGGGUGUGUGUGUUUGUUGUAAUCGUCUAAUUUUUUCUGCAAAACUUCAGCUCAGUUGUUUAUAACAUACAUUGAUAAAAUGCGUGCUUGAGUUGUAUCCGUAAUGUUGUGUAUGAAUGAGAGAUGAGGAUUUGAACUGUUUGAUUUUGCUUUACCCUCCUGAUUUCCUUGCCGAUUGUUGUUUAAUGACAUAUUUAGACACCUUGAGUCUCUGAUUAAAUUUUUAACCAGGAGGUGAAACCCGAAACCGAUGAAAAGACUAAAGUGUACUAUCAUGCAAUUGGAAAGCUAGAGUUUCUUCUUAUGAACUAUCAGCUAGGCCUUCGGUCUAUGCUCCAAUUUUUAAACAAGCAGGAGAAACUGAAAACUUACAAAAAUAUUGAAGUUCAUGAGACUGAAUUUGAAGAGCUAAAGUUUCGUGUUGAGAACUUUGGCGGAGCAACCACCAUCGAGCGGAUCUUGAAGGUCAGAAAUGAUGUAUAGUUCUUGAACCAUCAUGCCAUGGAUUGAUAUUAUUGUACUCCCUCCUCGAUAUGUGGAUUAAUCUUGUCAUAAAAAAUAAAUAUAUUUCUACUCUUUAAAAAAGAAGUAAUAUUUGUUACAAUUUUAGUAAUGAUAAUGCAUUUUUUUUUCUUUGAAAGAGUAAUGUUUAUGCGUGAUACCACAAAUUGUUAUCUUCAAUCCAUUUUUUCAAAUACAUGGCCACGAUUUCCACCAAAUCCGGACUUCACAAAUUUUCAUUUGUGAGUUCGAAAUAGUAUAUAACACAUUACUGCUUAGCCACAUAUUUCGUCUGAUUGUUUUGUUGAGUUUGUCUUUUGGGGAUUGCACUUACGUAACAUUGUGGCGGGCUAUGUCACAUGACAUAGUAAGAUUGUGCCACGUGUUGCUUCUUUUUAAAAAAAAAAUAAAAAAUAAAAUGAAAUAAAAGAAAAGAAACAAAGCAGAAGCAAAACGCGCACAUCUUCUUCUCCUUCAAAACGCGUUCGGCGUUCCCUCAUUUCUCCCUUGCUUCACUUCUCCCUGUGCUAUCCACCCACAAUAAUUUGUGCAGAGACCGCCUUCACUUCUCCAUCAUUCGCCGCCUCCUUCCUCCGUUGCCGUAAUCAUCUAUGCACAGGCCACCGUCGAUUUUCAUGAACUAAUGGAUUGAUGAAAUGCGUCGUAGAGGUAUUGUUUCUUGCUCAGCUUUAAUAUCUUGUCUUGUUAAAAACAAUCUUCCAGCUGAAGCUCUUCCUGUUUUCCAACAAAUGCAGUGGGUCAUUCUAAUGUUUGAAAUUCACUUGAUAGGGCUAUUAUGUUGAGCAUAGGUGUGAUUGAAUUGGGUAUUUGGGUUCAUUAUUUUAUUGUCAGGAUGAUGAUUGUUAUUACUGUUCCAUUGUGUACUGCUAUAUAUCUGAGAUGUGGGUCGAUUGAUCGUUCUGUUAGGGUGUUUGAUGAAAUGCCGGAAAGAAAUAUACUUACGUGGAUAGCGUUGAUUAAUGGGCUUGCUGUUCAUGGACGUAGUAGGGAAGCUUUGAAAGUUUUUGAUGUGAUGAAAGAGUCUGGUUUGAAGCCUGAUGGGGUGUUAUUUAUAGGUGUUUUGGUGGCUUGUAGUCAUGGUGGUGGAAAUGCCUUUGAAACCAAACUAUGUUAUUUGGAGGACUUUGCUUGGAGCAUGUGUGAAUCAUAAUCAUCUUGUGUUGGCUGAAAAGGCAGGGAAAGGAUCGUUAAGAUUGACCCACGUAAGGCUGGCUUGAGAAAUUCCUUGAGGCAUAAUAGAAUUUUCAAGGAGCCUGGGCUCAAGUGUGCUCAAGUGAGGCUUAGACAAUUGCUACAAGCACUGCUGUUUAUAGUUCAAGUGAAGUUGUGUUGUUAUAGUUCAAGUGAAGCUGUUAUAGUUCAAGUGAGGUUUCUGGCAGAACGCAAACAUUGUUGUUAUAGUUCAAAUAUCAUGAUGAUAUGUUCUAAUCUCAUUACUGUAUUGUUCAAAAAUAAACAAGCAUUAUAUGCUGUAAUAUCACUACUCUGUUGUAAUCACACUGUUGUUAUAGUUAAUGAAAUUUUCUUUGCCCUUUCAAAAAUAAACUUAUAACAGAAAAAAUGACACAAUUUAUUAGUUACAGUACCAUAAACAAAAAAAAUGCUAAAACCGCAAUGCAUAAAUGCAGGUAAAAAAAACUUGAAACGCUGCAACACAUUAAUGCAGAAACGCAAUUUCUACCAGAAACGCAAGUAAAAAAACCUGAAACGCUGCAACGCAUAAACGUAGUUUCUUUAACUAUUACUAGAAACACAACACUAAAAUCGCAAAAAAGUAGUAGCUGAAAUGCAUAAAUACCGAAACGCAAUACUAUAAAUGCAUAAACGCAUACUGCAGUACACAUCAGAUGAUUCAAGAUCGGAACCAAUAGUAAAUAACAAUUUUCCUCCGUAUAUAAUAAUCGAAGAUAACAAAAUACUUGUUCAAAAUACAAAAUCAAGGUAUAUUUUUUAGCAUAUCUCCAAAACAUNGGGCUUGAAGGCAAAUAAUAAAAGUGAAGGUUAGUUUUCCCAAUGCUAUAAUAGUUUAUGUUUUUAUGACUUUAUGUUAUUGACUUCACAACCAACCCUGUGAAGAUAGAUUUUUUCUUUUCUUUUUUGUUUCAUGUAAACCCAAGAAAAUUGUUAACCGUGUUAGGGAAAAGCGGAUUUCGCGGCCGCUUUACAUGGAGCGGUAGCGGGUCAAAUCGCCCACUUUUCCACUUUCCCGGGUCUGAGUACAAAACGAGAGAAAGAGAGCCAAAAACGACUUUGUUUUUAUAAUCGACCCAUGUGACCCGGUUUUUGACCCGGUUCGCUAGGAAUAAUAGAAGUUCGUUAUUUGUUGAAUAAAUUAAAAUAAAUGCAUAUUUAUGAUUUCUUUGACAUUGCUUGCUGAAAAGUCACACAAUGAAUGUGCCAGUUAAAUGCAUAUUUUGAUAGUUAUUUUUCUGACAAAUUAUUUUAAUACUUAAUAUUAUUGGUUAUUAAUUAUCUUUCUUAAUUUCAAUAUAAUUUUAUUUCAAAUCAUGAAUACUUCAUAAAAUUUGAUUAAUAUUUAAGGUAUUUUAGUAUAUUUUUUGUAUAUUAUGGUAUUUUAAUAUUAAAUAUAUUAGUGUCCGCGUCAUGAAAUAGCGUCCGCUACGCGCUGCGUCAAUUUUUGGGGUGGCCGCUUUCUGCUUUGACAGCAGAGUAUAAUGAUGUUGAUCCCUAUCACUGCGUUUCGUGCUUAUUGGAAUCCUAAAUUGCUCGGAGACGAUGGAAUCUCCAUGCUAAGUGGUGGAUUCUGCUACUAUUCUACAUGUUCUGCUAUUUCUGAGUUUUCCUGGUCUGGUCAGGCGACCUGGUUUCAAUUAAAACGACCCUCAAAUAUCCCUCUUUGGAAGCUUUAUGUUGUUUUUGUUAAGGGGAGGGAUAUUUUGACUCCAACCAUCUCACCUCACCUCUCCAUCCAGAAUUUUAUACAAUCAUUUAAAUUUGAUAAUUCUGUUAUUCAAAGAUAAGAAGAAUAAAAUUAUUGGAAUCUAAAAACAAAGGAAAGUCGCUAGAUUUUUACUAAGUCCAAAUUCCUUGUGGAAAUCCAAGGGCAUAAAAUAGAGAACCAGUAGACAUUGAAUUGAAAUCCAUAGGCAAUUUC